Molecule: ribosomal RNA, 1346 nt
Filed under: uncultured bacterium
Lineage: Bacteria
Description: bacterial SSU rRNA
Rfam family: Bacterial small subunit ribosomal RNA
Source: RNAcentral
GACGAACGCUGGCGGCGUGCUUAACACAUGCAAGUCGAACGGAAAGGCCCUGCUUUUGUGGGGUGCUCGAGUGGCGAACGGGUGAGUAACACGUGAGUAACCUGCCCUUGACUUUGGGAUAACUUCAGGAAACUGGGGCUAAUACCGGAUAGGAGCUCCUGCUGCAUGGUGGGGGUUGGAAAGUUUCGGCGGUUGGGGAUGGACUCGCGGCUUAUCAGCUUGUUGGUGGGGUAGUGGCUUACCAAGGCUUUGACGGGUAGCCGGCCUGAGAGGGUGACCGGCCACAUUGGGACUGAGAUACGGCCCAGACUCCUACGGGAGGCAGCAGUGGGGAAUAUUGCACAAUGGGCGGAAGCCUGAUGCAGCAACGCCGCGUGCGGGAUGACGGCCUUCGGGUUGUAAGCCGCUUUCGCCUGUGACGAAGCGUGAGUGACGGUAAUGGGUAAAGAAGCACCGGCUAACUACGUGUCAGCAGCCGCGGUGAUACGUAGGGUGCGAGCGUUGUCCGGAUUUAUUGGGCGUAAAGGGCUCGUAGGUGGUUGAUCGCGUCGGAAGUGUAAUCUUGGGGCUUAACCCUGAGCGUGCUUUCGAUACGGGUUGACUUGAGGAAGGUAGGGGAGAAUGGAAUUCCUGGUGGAGCGGUGGAAUGCGCAGAUAUCAGGAGGAACACCAGUGGCGAAGGCGGUUCUCUGGGCCUUUCCUGACGCUGAGGAGCGAAAGCGUGGGGAGCGAACAGGCUUAGAUACCCUGGUAGUCCACGCUGUAAACGGUGGGUACUAGGUGUGGGGUCCAUUCCACGGGUUCCGUGCCGUAGCUAACGCUUUAAGUACCCCGCCUGGGGAGUACGGCCGCAAGGCUAAAACUCAAAGGAAUUGACGGGGCCCCGCACAAGCGGCGGAGCAUGCGGAUUAAUUCGAUGCAACGCGUAGAACCUUACCUGGGUUUGACAUGGAUCGGGAGCGCUCAGAGAUGGGUGUGCCUCUUUUGGGGUCGGUUCACAGGUGGUGCAUGGCUGUCGUCAGCUCGUGUCGUGAGAUGUUGGGUUAAGUCCCGCAACGAGCGCAACCCUUGUUCACUGUUGCCAGCACGUUAUGGUGGGGACUCAGUGGAGACCGCCGGGGUCAACUCGGAGGAAGGUGGGGAUGACGUCAAGUCAUCAUGCCCCUUAUGUCCAGGGCUUCACGCAUGCUACAAUGGCUGGUACAGAGAGUGGCGAGCCUGUGAGGGUGAGCGAAUCUCGGAAAGCCGGUCUCAGUUCGGAUUGGGGUCUGCAACUCGACCUCAUGAAGUCGGAGUCGCUAGUAAUCGCAGAUCAGCAACGCUGCGGUGAAUACGUUCCCGGGGCU